This 1453-nucleotide ribosomal RNA is filed under the name uncultured bacterium. RNAcentral's name for it is "16S ribosomal RNA". It matches the Rfam family "Bacterial small subunit ribosomal RNA". The record is from RNAcentral.
ACGCUGGCGGCAGGCUUAACACGUGCAAGUCGAGCGGAGAGAGGUAGCUUGCUACUGAUCUUAGCGGCGGACGGGUGAGUAAUGCUUAGGAAUCUGCCUAUUAGUGGGGGACAACAUUUCGAAAGGAAUGCUAAUACCGCAUACGUCCUACGGGAGAAAGCAGGGGAUCUUCGGACCUUGCGCUAAUAGAUGAGCCUAAGUCGGAUUAGCUAGUUGGUGGGGUAAAGGCCUACCAAGGCGACGAUCUGUAGCGGGUCUGAGAGGAUGAUCCGCCACACUGGGACUGAGACACGGCCCAGACUCCUACGGGAGGCAGCAGUGGGGAAUAUUGGACAAUGGGCGCAAGCCUGAUCCAGCCAUGCCGCGUGUGUGAAGAAGGCCUUAUGGUUGUAAAGCACUUUAAGCGAGGAGGAGGCUACUUUAGUUAAUACCUAGAGAUAGUGGACGUUACUCGCAGAAUAAGCACCGGCUAACUCUGUGCCAGCAGCCGCGGUAAUACAGAGGGUGCAAGCGUUAAUCGGAUUUACUGGGCGUAAAGCGCGCGUAGGCGGCUAAUUAAGUCAAAUGUGAAAUCCCCGAGCUUAACUUGGGAAUUGCAUUCGAUACUGGUUAGCUAGAGUGUGGGAGAGGAUGGUAGAAUUCCAGGUGUAGCGGUGAAAUGCGUAGAGAUCUGGAGGAAUACCGAUGGCGAAGGCAGCCAUCUGGCCUAACACUGACGCUGAGGUGCGAAAGCAUGGGGAGCAAACAGGAUUAGAUACCCUGGUAGUCCAUGCCGUAAACGAUGUCUACUAGCCGUUGGGGCCUUUGAGGCUUUAGUGGCGCAGCUAACGCGAUAAGUAGACCGCCUGGGGAGUACGGUCGCAAGACUAAAACUCAAAUGAAUUGACGGGGGCCCGCACAAGCGGUGGAGCAUGUGGUUUAAUUCGAUGCAACGCGAAGAACCUUACCUGGCCUUGACAUAGUAAGAACUUUCCAGAGAUGGAUUGGUGCCUUCGGGAACUUACAUACAGGUGCUGCAUGGCUGUCGUCAGCUCGUGUCGUGAGAUGUUGGGUUAAGUCCCGCAACGAGCGCAACCCUUUUCCUUAUUUGCCAGCGAGUAAUGUCGGGAACUUUAAGGAUACUGCCAGUGACAAACUGGAGGAAGGCGGGGACGACGUCAAGUCAUCAUGGCCCUUACGGCCAGGGCUACGCACGUGCUACAAUGGUCGGUACAAAGGGUUGCUACCUAGCGAUAGGAUGCUAAUCUCAAAAAGCCGAUCGUAGUCCGGAUUGGAGUCUGCAACUCGACUCCAUGAAGUCGGAAUCGCUAGUAAUCGCGGAUCAGAAUGCCGCGGUGAAUACGUUCCCGGGCCUUGUACACACCGCCCGUCACACCAUGGGAGUUUGUUGCACCAGAAGUAGCUAGCCUAACUGCAAAGAGGGCGGUUACCACGGUGUGGCCGAUGACUGGGG